CCGCACAAGCGGUGGAGCAUGUGGUUAAUUCGACGCAACGCGAAGAACCUUACCAGGCUUGACAUCCCCUGACCGCGUAUGAAAGUACGUUUUCACCCUCGGGUGACAGGGAGACAGGUGGUGCAUGGUUGUCGUCAGCUCGUGUCGUGAGAUGUUGGGUUAAGUCCCGCAACGAGCGCAACCCCUACGUUUAGUUGCUAACGCGUGAAGGCGAGCACUCUAGACGAACUGCCGUUGACAAAACGGAGGAAGGUGGGAUGACGUCAAAUCAUCAUGCCCCUUAUGUUCUGGGCUACACACGUGCUACAAUGGCCGGUACAGACGGACGCAAAGCCGCGAGGUGGAGCAAAUCCUAAAAAGCCGGUCUCAGUUCGGAUUGCAGGCUGCAAUUCGCCUGCAUGAAGUCGGAAUCGCUAGUAAUCGCAGGUCAGCAUACUCGCGGUCGAAUACGUUCCCGGGCCUU
RNAcentral lists this ribosomal RNA (463 nucleotides) under uncultured Pelotomaculum sp. RNAcentral describes it as "bacterial SSU rRNA". It matches the Rfam family "Bacterial small subunit ribosomal RNA", at positions 921 to 1382 of the family's 1533-position model. Lineage: Bacteria; Bacillati; Bacillota; Clostridia; Eubacteriales; Desulfotomaculaceae. The record is from RNAcentral.